CGACCGGCGCACGGGUGAGUAACACGUAUGCAACCUGGCCGUGACAGAUGGAUAACCGGGAGAAAUCCCGCCUAAUACAACAUAAUGCCGGGAGGGGACAUCCCCUGCCGGCCAAAGGGGGCGACCCCGGUCACGGAUGGGCAUGCGGCGCAUUAGGUAGUUGGUGGGGCAACGGCCCACCGAGGCGACGAUGCGUAGGGGUUCUGAGAGGAAGGUCCCCCACACUGGUACUGAGACACGGACCAGACUCCUACGGAAGGCAGCAG
RNAcentral lists this ribosomal RNA (266 nucleotides) under uncultured bacterium. Its description in RNAcentral is "partial 16S ribosomal RNA". It matches the Rfam family "Bacterial small subunit ribosomal RNA", at positions 92 to 354 of the family's 1533-position model. The record is from RNAcentral.